AAUUAGAUACAUCAACAUGAUUCCUUACCAUCUCAUCUAUGUUUCUAACACUGUUUAUUAUAUUUCAACUAAAAGUCACAAAGUAUACUUAUUACCCCAACCCAGAAUCAACACGCACCAAAGUGUAAAAACAGUCCACCCCUUGAGAAACAAAAUGAAUGAAAAUCUAUUUGCCUCUUUCAUAACCCCAACAAUAAUAGGCCUCCCUGUAGUUAUUUUAAUUAUUAUGUUUAAAAGUAUUUUAUUUCCAACAUCAAAAUGACUAAUAAUCACAUAAUUUCCCUUCAACAAUGACUAGUCCAACUUACAUCAAAACAAAUAAUAAGCACCCAUAAUCACAAGGGACAGGCUUGAUCAUUAAUUCUAAUAUCACUCAUUUUAUUUAUUGGGUCAACCAACCUUCUAGGACUACUUCCCCACUCGUUUACACCCACCACGCAACUCUGAGUAAAUGUAGGAGUAGCAGUUCCCCUAUGAGCGGGCACCGUGAUUACAAGUUUUCAUAACAGAACAAAAAUAUCUCUAGCUCACUUCUUGCCACAAGGCACACCCUCCCCCCCUCAUCCCCAUACUAGUGAUUAUCAAAACUAUUAGCCUGUUUAUCCAACCAGUAGCACUAGUUGUGCGAUCAACAGCCAAUAUUACAGCAGGACAUUUAUUAAUACAUCUAAUUGGAGGGACAACUUUAGCACAGCAUCAGCACUACCACAGCUUUUAUUACAUUCAUCAUUCUUACCCUACUUAACUAUCCUCGAAUUUGCGGUUGCUAUAAUUGAAGCCUAUGUGUUUACCCUCCUAGUAAGCCUUUAUCUGCAUGACAAUAAUAAUGACCCACCAGACCCACACAUGCCACAUAGUAAAGCCCAGUCCUUGACCCCUUACAGGAGCCCUUUCAGCCCUCCUAAUAACAUCGGGCCUAAUCAUGUGAUUCCACUUCAACUCAAUAAUACUACUAAUAUUAGGCCUACUAACUAAUACUCUAACAACGUAUCAGUGGUGGCGAGAUGUUAUUCGGGAGAGCACUUUCCAAGGCCACCAUACACCAAUUGUCCAAAAAGGGCUUUGAUAUGGGAUAAUCUUAUUUAUCGUCUCAGAAGUCUUCUUUUUUACCAGCUUCUUUUGAGCCUUCUAUUACUCAAGCCUCGCCCCUACUCCUGAAUUAGGCGGGUGCUGGCCACCAGCAGGCAUUUGCCCUCUAAACCCCCUAGAGGUACUGCUUCUCAACACUUCAGUGCUACUAGCCUCUGGCGUGUCUAUUACUUGAGUCCGCCACAGCCUUACGGAAGGAAAUCACAAGCACAUACUCCAAGCCCUCUUUAUUACAAUUGCCCUGGGCAUAUAUUUUACACUCCUACAAGCCACAGAGUAUUAUGAAGCUCCACUUACAAUCUCAGAUGGAGUAUAUGGAUCAACUUUCUUCAUGGCCACAGGGUUCCAUGGACUGCAUGUAAUCAUUGGGUCCACCUUCCUUAUUGUCUGUUUUCUGCGCCAAUUAAAAUUCCACUUCACAUCCAACCACCACUUCGGCUUUGAAGCCGCUGCUUGAUACUGACAUUUUGUAGAUGUUGUGUGACUAUUCCUUUACGUAUCCAUCUAUUGAUGAGGCUC
This is a non-coding RNA of Delphinapterus leucas (beluga whale), 1608 nucleotides long. The record is from RefSeq and is a predicted model, not a curated record. Lineage: Eukaryota; Metazoa; Chordata; Mammalia; Artiodactyla; Monodontidae.